CGGCUCGACAGCUGGUGGAGAUGAAUUACAUCGGCGACAGUACUGAUCGUGACCAUCGUUGCACCAGUGACUACAGCUUCGUUUGAAACAAUUAUUUGUGUGGAUGUGUUCUUGCCAGUUUAUAAUUUUCACUGAUUAUAUUGAUGAAGACAACAAGAGUGCACCUCUGUGGAGAAGCAGGAUCGCUGGCGCUGUAAUAGCAUCGCGCUAACCGCUACACUACCAUGCCGCCAUCAUGUGCAUUGUGCUAUCAUGAAGCAGCUCUCCUGUUCCCAAGGAGCACCGCUGUGUACAGUUUCAAAAUAACAAAAAAGGAAAAGGGCCUGAAGGAAAAGUUUGGGCACCCUGCAUGAUGAAACCUACGGGGACCUAAGGAUACUCGAGACCUGUAUCUUCGAGAGCUUUUAUGAGCUGCCAUUACAUCUCAAGUGAUAACUAAAUGUGGCAUUGUGGACAUCUGCCUCUCAGCAAUGGACCCUGGUUACCUGAUCUCAAAAAACUAAAGCUGUAGUAGGCUGAGGAAGAAACAGAGACUCCUAUCUGGAAAACGUGGGCUUUCAUAUGUUGUUUACUUUGAGAGAGCACUACUGGCAAUUUUGUUUUUGAAGGAAGUUGUAUUAAAGAGUACAGAAUUAAGAAAUUAUUUGCAUCAAAAAAGCACACUUAUGUCAAACAAAGAUAGAUGAUUGACACAAUAGGUUUCUAAUUCAACAAAAACAAUUUGCAUUUUAAGCGUUUUUAAAAAAAUAUACAGAGAAUGUUCCAAGAAGCAUGGGUUUCUCAAAAAAAAUGUCUACCUCAGACUGGCUUAGAAAUUAAUGCAGUAUAACAUUCUCCAAGACUUUAUAAAAUAUCAAGAAUGUAAGUGACCAUAGGGGCAACUACAAUAAAUGUUUAAUACACAUUCAACUUUGAAAGCACUAAACUAUUGUAUGAUUCUGAACACAAGUUAUGUA
Long non-coding RNA from Pristis pectinata (smalltooth sawfish), 956 nucleotides. RefSeq lists it as uncharacterized. Lineage: Eukaryota; Metazoa; Chordata; Chondrichthyes; Rhinopristiformes; Pristidae. The transcript has 5 exons. The record is from RefSeq and is a predicted model, not a curated record.